UUGUAUGGUCUCCCAAAAGGAUUUUAUAAAAUUAAAAUUAAAACUAUCUGGACCCUGGCACUUUGAGCUCCCACAACUCCACACGGCCUCCCUUACCUCCUCAACACCAAACUUGGCCAUAAAAAGCUCAUUAUCAAUGAUUGAAAUUUGAUUGAACUUGACCCCAAUCCAAAAACCAACAAUCCAAUAUUCUAAAAGGUUUUGGCCCCCAAUUGACAAAGAAGCUUUGAACCACAAUAGUACAAUAAUCGCAAAUAUUCCUUUGCAAGACAUAUUGUGCACUUUCUGGCCAAAGGCUUAUCCACUCAUUUGACACAAUAGUUCUAUCAAUCCUUAUUUCUAGCCUUACCAUUUGGUCUAUACGAAGUGAAGUUCCUCCCUACCAAAGGAGAAGGGGUAUUGUUAUUCCAAAUUGGGACUUCAAAUGCCCUCUGUGUGGUUUGACAGAGGAGUCAGUAGCUCAUGUGCUUAUUUCGUGCGAGGUGGCUUGCGGCAUUUGGUGACACCGCUACAACACUUUUGGCAACACAUCAUUAAUCAAGGUACCGGAGGACGUGAACAAAAGAUGGAGGAUUAUAUGGGUGGCAGUAGCUUGGGUGUUAUGAAAUUGGAGGAAUAAUUUAGUGUUUAGAAAUGCUUCUUUUCACGUGGAUAAGGUGGUAAAUGAUAUACUUUUCCAUAGUUGGUCAUGGAUUAGAUCUAGUGAGCAGCAGUUUCAAUAUUCCUUUGUACAAUGGGAAAUUUGUCCAGGGGCUUGCCUUAUGAAAUCAUAGUAGGGUCUGGUGGUGAAACUACUGCUGGUGUAGCAAUUAUUAAUCUCCUAAGAUUUUGGUGAAACUACUGCAUCAUGUGCUUAGCAUGUGCAGGUGUUGGUUUUAGCAAGCUUUAAGUGUUUUUAAUGUAGAUUUAAUCAUGUUAAGCAGGGCAGCUCCCUAUUAUUGGCAUAUAGUAAUUGUAACAGGUUUAUGUGUAUUCUGUCAUUUGGGCACUUCUUGUGCUGUUGACUUAAUAUACAAGAUCUUUUGCCUAUUUUUUUUAAAAAA
Glycine soja is the source of this 1043-nucleotide long non-coding RNA. RefSeq lists it as uncharacterized. NCBI's taxonomy places the organism in Eukaryota, Viridiplantae, Streptophyta, Magnoliopsida, Fabales, Fabaceae. The record is from RefSeq and is a predicted model, not a curated record. The transcript has 2 exons.